This 557-nucleotide small RNA is filed under the name Pan troglodytes (chimpanzee). RNAcentral's name for it is "processed transcript". Lineage: Eukaryota; Metazoa; Chordata; Mammalia; Primates; Hominidae. The record is from RNAcentral.
AGUAUUUAUUUAGGUUAGCGUGGGUGAGAUACAGCAGAGAUUAAAACUGAUCUGGAGCACCUAAAAAAAAGAUGAAGCCAAGAAGGAUCAAGAAGGUGGAGAAGAAAAGAAAUCUGUGCAAAAGAAAAAAGUAAAAGAGUUAAAGGUGUUGGAUUCAAAGACAGCCCAGAAUCUCUAACCUCAUUAAGCAAAUGCCAGAGCCAGAGCAGUUAAAAAUGCUUUCUGAACUGAAGGAUGAAUAUGAUGACCUGGCUGAGUCAGAGCAGUUUGGCGUGGUGAUGGGCACUGUGCCCCGACUGCGGCCUCGCCUCAAUGCCAUUCUCUUCAAGCUACAAUUCAGCGAGCAAGUGGAGAAUAUCAAGCCAGAGAUUGUGUCUGUCACUGCUGCAUGUGAGGAGUUACGUAAGAGUGAGAGCUUUUCCAGUCUCCUAGAGAUUACCUUGCUUGUUGGAAAUUACAUGAAUGCUGGCUCCAGAAAUGCUGGUGCUUUUGGCUUCAAUAUCAGCUUCCUCUGUAAGCUUCGAGACACCAAGUCCACAGAUCAGAAGAUGACGUUG